This is a long non-coding RNA of Haplochromis burtoni (Burton's mouthbrooder), 1535 nucleotides long. RefSeq lists it as uncharacterized. The transcript is spliced from 2 exons. The record is from RefSeq and is a predicted model, not a curated record. Lineage: Eukaryota; Metazoa; Chordata; Actinopteri; Cichliformes; Cichlidae.
AGGUUAGUUAGGUACAGAAUAAGCUAUCAAUAGUUAUCAAGAUAACAAACUCGGUUAAACAGCGUAAUACACGCUGUUUUCUAAAUAUAUUAAACGUGAGACACAAGAGUAAAGCCAUUUCUACGAAAAAUAUUUUAUAUUAUUUUAUUGAUAUCUCUCGGAUUUACAUUUUCAGUGGGAUAAUAAUUUCACGUUUGUGGAGUAUUUCAAUUAAGAAUUGUGAAUAAUUAUAAGUCAGAGGGGGUGUCAAAUGGACAAAAAGGGUCCAGUCCGGCCCGUGGAUAGCUUUGUGGAAAAUGUGGAACUUUCAGAGGAGGAGGCCAUUUAUGGUGAACCUUAAACGGUAUUUUAAAUUUUUGGUUUUAGUGUUUUUACUGAAGAAGAGAUAACUUAUGACCUGUCAUACACCAGAGUUGAGCAGCUUGACGCCUGAUGUCAGACCGGUGACUGAUGAUCCUGCUGAGGCAAUAUAUCAACACAUUACAGGUAGAGACGCCUUACCAGCAGCAUGGAAUGAUGGGAAAUGGUGCAGUGCCGCUGUGUGUCGGUCGGUGACAUUGAGCGCUGUAGGUAAAAAGAAACUGUGUGGGAAUGCAAUCUUAAACAGCAAAAUGGCACCAUUGUUACUGUUCUAUGGGAUUUUCAAGUAGGAUAUUUACAGCAGCCUUAAACACAAAUAAAAAAAAACAAACCUGGUCUCAGGUAUCAAAUGGUAGUUGCAAUUAUUUUAUCAUUCCUGCACAUUUUAUUUUCUAAUUUCCCAGAAUGUCUUUAAUAUUUGACAAAACCCCAAAUAUGAUUGAAUGAGAAAUUAUUUUGGACACAUUUGUGUUACUAAGGAAUGAUGUUGAGCUUUGUAAAUUGGUGAUUAAAAGUUUUUUAACUUUAAUAUGUAUUUUGGACAUUAGAAGGUGUCAUUCAACUGCUAACGCCUAACAGGUAAGUUUAUUAACUUGCAUCUGAAGCUAAAAUUAGGCUGCAUUGAUGUCAGGGUGUGUGCUUUAGCUUUUUGUCUCCUAAACAUCUUUAAAGGUGUGAAAUGAAACUAAAAAAUAUGACACGUGCUGCAGGUGAGUUAUAUGUUUAUUCAGCUUGUUGCCGGCUGUUACAGGUACACCAGUUACAGGUGCAGACUUUGUAUUACUUUCACAGAUGUAAAGCACCACAUAGAUCUACGAUCAGCAGACAAACAACAAGGAGCUCCUGCAGUUAUCUUUCGGCUUCACUGGUUAGCUGGGAAUGAACUUACAGGACAAAAAAAAUCUAGUGUAGUUAGACUCAAAGACACAGUACGUGAUCAUAAGGUGGAACCAGUAACAAUUAGUCUUCUGCAGCAUUUAAAUGUCCAGAUUGGUUUUUGCUGAAAAGUAGGAAGGCCCAAAUUCACUCUGAUUUGUUGCUUACAGCUUUUGUGUAGACGUCAAUGCAGAGGAAGACAAACUAAAAAGGACACAAAUGAGUCGAUAACAUAAUGAAAAGAAAUUUUUAAGGUUACUGGUUCACUGACUACUAAUACAACUACUACUACUACAAAA